Molecule: ribosomal RNA, 429 nt
Filed under: Pseudomonadota bacterium
Lineage: Bacteria; Pseudomonadati; Pseudomonadota
Description: Proteobacteria bacterium partial 16S ribosomal RNA
Rfam family: Bacterial small subunit ribosomal RNA
Source: RNAcentral
UGGGGAAUAUUGGACAAUGGGCGAAAGCCUGAUCCAGCCAUGCCGCGUGUGUGAAGAAGGUCUUCGGAUUGUAAAGCACUUUAAGUGGGGAGGAAGGGCAGUAAGCGAAUACCUUGCUGUUUUGACGUUACCGACAGAAUAAGCACCGGCUAACUCUGUGCCAGCAGCCGCGGUAAUACAGAGGGUGCAAGCGUUAAUCGGAAUUACUGGGCGUAAAGCGCGCGUAGGUGGUUCGUUAAGUUGAAUGUGAAAGCCCCGGGCUCAACCUUGGAACUGCAUCCAAAACUGGCGAGCUAGAGUAGGGCAGAGGGUGGUGGAAUUUCCUGUGUAGCGGUGAAAUGCGUAGAUAUAGGAAGGAACACCAGUGGCGAAGGCGACCACCUGGGCUCAUACUGACACUGAGGUGCGAAAGCGUGGGGAGCAAACAGG